GUGCCCUUUUGUUAGAGCUGACAGAGUGCUUUAAGAGGCUAACACAGAAGGGAAAAUAAGUCUCCAUAAAACCCAGGGAAGAUAUUGGACCCCGUCUGCAGUCACAGCU
This is a small nucleolar RNA of Oryctolagus cuniculus (rabbit), 109 nucleotides long. The record is from Ensembl. NCBI's taxonomy places the organism in Eukaryota, Metazoa, Chordata, Mammalia, Lagomorpha, Leporidae.